RNAcentral lists this ribosomal RNA (258 nucleotides) under uncultured bacterium. Its description in RNAcentral is "partial 16S ribosomal RNA". The record is from RNAcentral.
CUGCUGCCUUCCGUAGGAGUCUGGGCCGUGUCUCAGUCCCAGUGUGGCUGGUCGUCCUCUCAGACCAGCUACUGAUCGUUGCUUUGGUGAGCCGUUACCUCACCAACCGGCUAAUCAGUCAUCGGCCGCUCCGCUCGCGAGAGGCCCUUGCGGGUCCCCCUCUUUCUUCCGUAGAACUCAUGCGGUAUUAGCCAACCUUUCGGCUGGUUGUCCCCCCACGAGCGGACACGUUCCGAUGUAUUACUCACCCGUUCGCCA